RNAcentral lists this ribosomal RNA (497 nucleotides) under uncultured bacterium. RNAcentral describes it as "partial 16S ribosomal RNA". It matches the Rfam family "Bacterial small subunit ribosomal RNA", at positions 28 to 507 of the family's 1533-position model. The record is from RNAcentral.
GAUGAACGCUGGCGGCGUGCCUAAUACAUGCCAGUCGAGCGAACAGACGAGGAGCUUGCUCCUCUGACGUUAGCGGCGGACGGGUGAGUAACACGUGGAUAACCUACCUAUAAGACUGGGAUAACUUCGGGAAACCGGAGCUAAUACCGGAUAAUAUAUUGAACCGCAUGGUUCAAUAGUGAAAGACGGUUUUGCUGUCACUUAUAGAUGGAUCCGCGCCGCAUUAGCUAGUUGGUAAGGUAACGGCUUACCGAGGCAACGAUGCGUAGCCGACCUGAGAGGGUGAUCGGCCACACUGGAACUGAGACACGGUCCAGACUCCUACGGGGGGCAGCAGUAGGGAAUCUUCCGCAAUGGGCGAAAGCCUGACGGAGCAACGCCGCGUGAGUGAUGAAGGUCUUCGGAUCGUAAAACUCUGUUAUUAGGGAAGAACAAAUGUGUAAGUAACUAUGCACGUCUUGACGGUACCUAAUCAGAAAGCCACGGCUAACUACGUG